CCGGACUCCAUCAGCUGGCGUUUGGACAAUUCGGGACAAUGCAGUGUGAGCUCGGCCUAUAAUUUUCAGUUUCUGAACAGACCAAAUUCAGACAACAAGCACCUUAUCUGGAAGGUCUGGGCCCCUGGAAAAACCAAGAUAUUCUUCUGGUUGCUGCUACAAAAUCGUCUCUGGUGCAACGACAGAUUACAACGAGUAGGUUGGGAAAAUGGUUAUUUUUGCCCGUUGUGCAUGAGGAACCUAGAAACUUCAGUCCACCUCUUCUGUGAAUGCCGGGUAUCACAGGAAGUUUGGCGCCAAAUAUCCACCUGGCCGGAUGCAACACUCUUUCUGACAGCAAUGCAGUGCCCAUACAUUCUUCAGAACAAAGAGUUAAAGCAGUGA
This 384-nucleotide ribosomal RNA is filed under the name Triticum aestivum (bread wheat). RNAcentral's name for it is "partial small subunit ribosomal RNA". Lineage: Eukaryota; Viridiplantae; Streptophyta; Magnoliopsida; Poales; Poaceae. The record is from RNAcentral.